GAUGAACGCUGGCGGCGUGCCUAAUACAUGCAAGUCGAGCGAACAGACUAUGACCUUGCUCCUCUGACGUUAGCGUCGGACGGUUGAGUUACACUUAGUUAACCUCCCUCUAAGACUUGGCUCACUUCUGGCAACCGGCGCUAAUACCGGCUAAUAUUUUGAACCGCAUGGUUCAAUAGUUAAAGACGGUUUUUCUGUUACUUAUUUAUGGAUCCGCUCCGCAUUAUCUAGUUGGUAAGGUAACGUCUUACCAAUGCAACGAAGGGUAGCCGACCGGAGCGGGGGAUUGGGCCAACGGGAAAGGAGACAAGGUCCAGACACCUGAGGGAGGAAGCAGUAGGGAAUCUUACGCAAUGGGGGAAAGCCUGACGGAGCAAAACCGCGGAAAUGAUGAAGGUCCUAGGAUCGUAAAACGCAGUUAUUAGGGAAGAACAAAUGUGUAAGUAACUAUGCACGUCUUGACGGUACCUAAUCAGAAAGCCACGGCUAACUACGUG
This 497-nucleotide ribosomal RNA is filed under the name uncultured bacterium. Its description in RNAcentral is "partial 16S ribosomal RNA". It matches the Rfam family "Bacterial small subunit ribosomal RNA", at positions 28 to 507 of the family's 1533-position model. The record is from RNAcentral.